Taeniopygia guttata (zebra finch) is the source of this 833-nucleotide non-coding RNA. The record is from RefSeq and is a predicted model, not a curated record. NCBI's taxonomy places the organism in Eukaryota, Metazoa, Chordata, Aves, Passeriformes, Estrildidae.
UAUUUGAUAAGUAUACUGAGGAGAAAAAUGCUAUAUAAUACAUUUAUAUGAAUUAUCAUAAUCAUAUGAAUGAUCAUCAGUAUGAACAGCUGACUUAUUUUACCUCACUAAUACUUUCUGUUGAAUAAAUACCAAACAGAAAUAACACAGUAUUAAUCAAAAAUGUUAAUCAGACAGCAGAUUUGUUACCUUAAGAGAAAUUUUCAGAUUUACUAAAGAUAUUUCUUUUUUCUGGCCAGGAAGGGUCUUUAGUGAGCAGAUAUUUGGCAAAAUGCAGAAGAAACACAAAUACAGCUACUAAUGACAGCAAAAGAACAGCAUAUUUACACACCAACCCCCAAGUGUCUGCUUGUCAUUGUACCAGGACUUCUCGGAACAGUUCCGAUAGAUCUCCUCAAGGGAAGGCAGAGCCUACAGAAAGAGGGUCAGUACCAGAUGACAGGAUGACCAGAAGCCAUUUACCUAUCAAAGAACAAACACUAGAAGAGAUGAUGUAUACUCUACCCUUUCUGGGCUUCAUAAAUUCUGUUUUGAGAAAAGUGCAGAACCUCUUCCUGGAGCCAGUCCCUAAAGUCUUUAAAACAACAUCCAGAAAGAAGAUGGCAGGAGCCACCUCAUUUUUCAACAAUUCCUCUGACUUGGAGUGUUCAUUCAGGAUGUCAGAGAUCCCCAUUCAAUGUCCUCCACCCUUCGUGCCUUUUUAUUAGUGGCUGAAUCUUUCAACCCCCAAACUCUCUAGAAAAUCUCCUUCUGUUGAAACUUUGUCACUGUACAGAGAAUGCAGAAGACUUGCUGAGAUAAAGAAAAUUAAAUCAAUUCACAGCUCAAAAAAA